This 440-nucleotide ribosomal RNA is filed under the name uncultured bacterium. Its description in RNAcentral is "partial 16S ribosomal RNA". It matches the Rfam family "Bacterial small subunit ribosomal RNA", at positions 338 to 795 of the family's 1533-position model. The record is from RNAcentral.
CCUACGGGAGGCAGCAGUGGGGAAUAUUGCACAAUGGGGGAAACCCUGAUGCAGCGACGUCGCGUGAGUGAUGAAGUAUUUCGGUAUGUAAAGCUCUAUCAGCAGGGAAGAAAAUGACGGUACCUGACUACGAAGCCCCGGCUAACUACGUGCCAGCAGCCGCGGUAAUACGUAGGGGGCAAGCGUUAUCCGGAUUUACUGGGUGUAAGGGGAGCGUAGACGGCGGUGCAAGCCAGAUGUGAAAGCCCGGGGCUCAACCCCGGGACUGCCUUUGAAACUGUGCUGCUAGAGUGUCGGAGAGGCAGGCGGAAUUCCUAGUGUAGCGGUGAAAUGCGUAGAUAUUAGGAGGAACACCAGUGGCGAAGGCGGCCUGCUGGACGAUGACUGACGUUGAGGCUCGAAAGCGUGGGGAGCAAACAGGAUUAGAUACCCGAGUAGUC